AAUUUUCUAGUCUAAAAAAGACGCUUAUUUUGAAAAUAAGAAAUUAGUAAUUUUACUAGAAAAUUU
This 66-nucleotide transfer RNA is filed under the name Columbicola passerinae. Its description in RNAcentral is "tRNA-Ser". Lineage: Eukaryota; Metazoa; Arthropoda; Insecta; Psocodea; Philopteridae. The record is from RNAcentral.